This 473-nucleotide ribosomal RNA is filed under the name uncultured bacterium. RNAcentral describes it as "bacterial SSU rRNA". It matches the Rfam family "Bacterial small subunit ribosomal RNA", at positions 8 to 526 of the family's 1533-position model. The record is from RNAcentral.
AGAGUUUGAUCCUGGCUCAGGAUGAACGCUGGCGGCGUGCCUAACACAUGCAAGUCGAACGGUGCCUUCGGGCACAGUGGCGAACGGGUGCGUAACACGUGGAGGACCUGCCCUGGAGACGGGGAUAACCACUGGAAGCGGUGGCUAAUACCCGAUGGCCUCGCGAGAGGAAAGCUCCGGCGCUCCAGGAGGGCUCCGCGGCCUAUCAGCUAGUUGGUGGGGUAACGGCUCACCAAGGCAUGACGGGUAGCUGGCCUGAGAGGGUGGUCAGCCACAUGGGGACUGAGAGACGGCCCCAACUCCUACGGGAGGCAGCAGUGAGGGAUCUUGCACAAUGGGGGCAACCCUGAUGCAGCAACGCCGCGUGGAGGAUGACGUCCUUCGGGAUGUAAACUCCUUUUCAGGGGGAGCAGACAGGAGCGUACCCCUGGAAUCAGUCACGGCUAAUAACGUGCCAGCAGCCGCGGUAACAC